UUUAAUCACUACAAACAAAUCACCUGUGCUGGUUGUUGAGUAAGAAAUUGUAGAAGCGUCUUCUCUCGAACUCGAGACUACCAUUGUAGUAUAUG
Octopus sinensis (East Asian common octopus) is the source of this 95-nucleotide long non-coding RNA. RefSeq lists it as uncharacterized. The record is from RefSeq and is a predicted model, not a curated record. Lineage: Eukaryota; Metazoa; Mollusca; Cephalopoda; Octopoda; Octopodidae. The transcript has 3 exons.